This 251-nucleotide ribosomal RNA is filed under the name uncultured bacterium. Its description in RNAcentral is "partial 16S ribosomal RNA". It matches the Rfam family "Bacterial small subunit ribosomal RNA", at positions 524 to 776 of the family's 1533-position model. The record is from RNAcentral.
UACGAAGGGGCUAGCGUUGUUCGGAAUCACUGGGCGUAAAGCGCACGUAGGCGGAUCUUUAAGUCAGGGGUGAAAUCCCGAGGCUCAACCUCGGAACUGCCUUUGAUACUGGGGAUCUCGAGUCCGGGAGAGGUGAGUGGAACUGCGAGUGUAGAGGUGAAAUUCGUAGAUAUUCGCAAGAACACCAGUGGCGAAGGCGGCUCACUGGACCGGUAUUGACGCUGAGGUGCGAAAGCGUGGGAGCAACAGGG